UGUCUGUCCGUGUUCGCUGCUAUACGUUUGUGCAUAGUGCAUAUUAUUAUAAUACGUAUUACCAAUUCGUAAUAUUAUCACAGCGAUUUGUGACAUCGUACAUUUGUACUACAUAAACAGAAAUCGACAUCUUGAACUAUUUUACAAAAACAUUUUGUAAUUUACAGUUUACAGCUUUACAAGAACAGCACCUGUGUUCAUUCUGACGUUACUAUAGUUGACAACCAUCCAAAAGGGCGUUAGUUCAGGUUUUUCAAUAAUUUUGCAAUAAUAUGAAUGUGUGAACAUAUGCCUAUUGUUUAAAAGAAAUAUGUCAGUACGAGAGAUGCAUAUUUGUUUGGGCACUGCCAAGUUGGCUCAAGAUCAAUUCGCCAGUGCCAUUAUUAGAAUAAGUACCUACUCAAUUAGUGUUUAGCUUACAUGAAAAUGGACUUAAUUUGAAAUACUUAUAUUUUUUAUCAGAAAAAAAGUA
Molecule: long non-coding RNA, 472 nt
Organism: Sipha flava (yellow sugarcane aphid)
Lineage: Eukaryota; Metazoa; Arthropoda; Insecta; Hemiptera; Aphididae
Exons: 3
Source: RefSeq, a predicted model, not a curated record